RNA transcript from Olea europaea var. sylvestris, 2066 nucleotides. It is a transcript of the gene named protein CIA1-like, with no coding region annotated. The record is from RefSeq and is a predicted model, not a curated record. The transcript is spliced from 9 exons. NCBI's taxonomy places the organism in Eukaryota, Viridiplantae, Streptophyta, Magnoliopsida, Lamiales, Oleaceae.
CUUUUAGUAACACUGGGUUAGUAGCACGAGACCACCACAUUCUCCCACCAUCAGUGAGGGCGGCGCGUGUCUCAAACGAGUUUAUAAUCAACCGUAAUAUAUUAACUUUCCGAGCGAUGAACUCCGCCGACGAGAAUUUCGAGCUGAGAGAAAUUCAGCGACUCGAAGGCCACACUGAUAGGGUUUGGGGCGUAGCAUGGAAACCGGCAACUGGAGUCAACGGCGUUCCUGCAGUACUGGCUUCUUGUAGCGGAGACAAAACCGUCUGUGUUUGGGAACAAAGUCCCGCCACAGGCUCUUUCCAGCAAAAGGCAGUCUUGGAGGAGACACACACUAGGACUGUUAGGUCGUGCAUGUGGUCGCCAUCUGGAAAAUUGUUGGCGACAGCAAGUUUUGAUGCCACCACUGCUAUCUGGGAAGAUGUUGGGGGUGAUUUUGAAUGCAUUUCCAAUUUAGAGGGUCAUGAAAAUGAAGUUAAAAGUGUUUCUUGGAAUGCAUCCGGCUCACUACUUGCAACAUGUGGACGAGACAAAUCAGUGUGGAUAUGGGAAUUAUUACCCCAUAAUGAAUUUGACUGCGUUUCAGUGUUGCAGGGACACACUCAAGAUGUUAAAAUGGUCCAAUGGCAUCCCUCUAUGGAUAUUUUGUUUUCAUGUAGUUACGACAACACUAUUAAGGUCUGGGCGGAGGAUGGGGACAGUGAUGAUUGGCAUUGUGUUCAAACUUUAGGUGAAUCCAACAGUGGACACUCUUCUACUAUCUGGGCUUUAUCUUUUAACACCAAUGGAGACAAAAUGGUUUCCUGUAGUGAUGACCUUACCGUUAAGGUAUGGGGCGCUGACAUUAUGAGGAUGCAUUCGGGAGAUGGAAAUGUACCUUGGGCACAUCUUUGUACUCUUUCUGGCUAUCACGAUCGGACAAUUUUUUCUGUCCAUUGGUCAAGGCCACACUUAGUUCUGGGUUCUUUAUAGUUUACGGCAGGUGAUCACGCUUUUGGUGCCAUCUACAGUUGGCCUUCGUAAUUUUCAGCGUCGUCUGACGUUCCGGCAUCUCUAAGCCUGGGUGUCAAGUCUCUUCGCUGGGUCAAGCAUUAGGGUUGGCAGAGUCAACAUCGGUGGCAGUAGAAGAAAGCGGGGUCCAUCAACAGAGGAGAAUUGGAGAGAAUCGAAGGGUGCUUUUCGUUGCUAUCGCUGUUACUAGAUUGAGAAUUGUCUCACUGCUUCUUCCACUUUCUAAGUGGACCGUCGAACCCAGAAGCUGUUGGGUUGAACCGUACCUCGAGGAGGUCCAGCUAUGUCUCGUCCCUUCUUCCAUUUUCUUCUCUCUAGUGUUGCUCUCCUCUUGAUUGGGCUUUGGUUAAUUGGACCGUGUUUCUUUGUCUCUGCCAGUUAAAUUGAAUAACGGGUUAUAUUUGUAUCAAUUGGUCUUGUGUCCCUAAGAUUGAUUUAAUUAUUUAAAGUUACGGGUUUGAUUAAAAUUUCUAAUUCAUGGCUAAUUUCCUAAGUGCUGAGCAGGUGGAUCACCUUCUUCAAUGGCUGAAAUUCACUCCUACAUGUGGUCCUUCUGCUGGUUCUUUGGCCUAAACAGGCGAUCUCCCUAGUACAUACUCUUGUGGUUUAACUUGAUUCUGGUGCAUCCGACCAUAUGACUAGUACUUCACAAUUUUUUCAAUCUCAUUACCCGUGUCCAAGGAAUAAAAAGAUUAGAAUUGCAGAUGGUAGUCUCUCAUCCAUUGCAGGAAUAAGUUCUGUCCAAAUCUAUGAGAAAAUUGAACUAAAAUCUGUCCUUCAUGUUCCUAAACUUGCUUGUAAUUUGCUAUCUCUUAGUAAACUGUCACGUGAUUCUAAUUGUCGUGUUAUAUUCUUUAAUUCCCAUUAUGAAUUUCAGGACCAACUCUCGGGGAGGAUGAUUGGCAAAGCUAGGAUGAUUGAUGGACUCUAUUAUUUUGAUGAUACCUAAUUCAACAAUAAACAAGUUCAGGGGUUAAGUACUAAUGGGAAGGGAUAAUUGCCAGUGGAGCAGCUGAUGAUGCUAUCCGUUUAUUUGUUGAGAGUAUAGAUGGAUUG